RNAcentral lists this ribosomal RNA (435 nucleotides) under uncultured bacterium. RNAcentral's name for it is "bacterial SSU rRNA". It matches the Rfam family "Bacterial small subunit ribosomal RNA", at positions 958 to 1392 of the family's 1533-position model. The record is from RNAcentral.
AACGCGAAGAACCUUACCUGGUCUUGACAUAGUAAGAACUUUCCAGAGAUGGAUUGGUGCCUUCGGGAACUUACAUACAGGUGCUGCAUGGCUGUCGUCAGCUUGUGUCGUGAGAUGUUGGGUUAAGUCCCGCAACGGGCGCAACCCUUUUCCUUAUUUGCCAGCGGGUUAAGCCGGGAACUUUAAGGAUACUGCCAGUGACAAACUGGAGGAAGGCGGGGACGACGUCAAGUCAUCAUGGCCCUUACGACCAGGGCUACACACGUGCUACAAUGGUCGGUACAAAGGGUUGCUACCUAGCAAUAGGAUGCUAAUCUCAAAAAGCCGAUCGUAGUCCGGAUUGGAGUCUGCAACUCGACUCCAUGAAGUCGGAAUCGCUAGUAAUCGCGGAUCAGAAUGCCGCGGUGAAUACGUUCCCGGGUCUUGUACACACCG